AAACAAAAAUAGUAUACUUACGCAUCAUAGUAAAACCAAUACAAUUCAUCGCUUCGCUCAGAAUCUAAAAUAAUUUUAGGUUAGUUUUCUGUUCGGUUUUCGCGGACAACUGAGAGAUAGGAAUUUAGUUUUUUACGCACGAUGCACCCUAUAUCCUACAUUGUCUGAAAGAUUUUUAAAAAUAUAAUUAAGUUGUAAAAUGUUUUCAUACAAACAAAUAUUUUGCGACACACACGCUCCAAAUAUAGGGUGAAGUAGGAUAUUUUCGUGGCAUAGGCGAUUUCGUGAUAUCUAUUAUUUAUUGAACGAAAACUACUAUAAACCAACGAUUUUUUAGAACAAUAAAUAAUAUGCGCCUCGUAUUAAACAUACAAAAGUAUGCAAA
Molecule: non-coding RNA, 385 nt
Organism: Cinara cedri
Lineage: Eukaryota; Metazoa; Arthropoda; Insecta; Hemiptera; Aphididae
Source: the annotation of a GenBank genome assembly